UACGUAGGGGGCGAGCGUUAUCCGGAUUCAUUGGGCGUAAAGCGCGCGUAGGCGGCCCGGCAGGCCGGGGGUCGAAGCGGGGGGCUCAACCCCCCGAAGCCCCCGGAACCUCCGCGGCUUGGGUCCGGUAGGGGAGGGUGGAACACCCGGUGUAGCGGUGGAAUGCGCAGAUAUCGGGUGGAACACCGGUGGCGAAGGCGGCCCUCUGGGCCGAGACCGACGCUGAGGCGCGAAAGCUGGGGGAG
Molecule: ribosomal RNA, 245 nt
Filed under: uncultured Collinsella sp.
Lineage: Bacteria; Bacillati; Actinomycetota; Coriobacteriia; Coriobacteriales; Coriobacteriaceae
Description: partial 16S ribosomal RNA
Rfam family: Bacterial small subunit ribosomal RNA
Source: RNAcentral